GCAGACACAUUCCAGCCAAUCAGCAGCAGACCCUCCCUCCCAGACCCUCCCACCUCCUGGACAGCAUCCAUUUUACAUUCCUUGUGAAGCUGCAUUCUUAGUGAGCUGUCCAGGAGAUGGGAGGGUCUGGGAGGGAGGGUCUGCUGCUGAUUGGCUGGAAUGUGUCUG
RNAcentral lists this microRNA precursor (168 nucleotides) under Pelobates cultripes (western spadefoot toad). Lineage: Eukaryota; Metazoa; Chordata; Amphibia; Anura; Pelobatidae. The record is from RNAcentral.